UGGCUCAGGACGAACGCUGGCGGCGUGCCUAAUACAUGCAAGUCGAACGCACUGACGUCGACCGAAGCUGCUUGCAGUGGACGUUGAUUGACGUGAGUGGCGGACGGGUGAGUAACACGUGGGUAACCUACCCUUAAGUGGGGGAUAACAUUUGGAAACAGAUGCUAAUACCGCAUAACCAUUCAGACCACAUGGUCUGAAUGUAAAAGACGGCCUUUGGCUGUCACUUUUGGACGGACCCGCGGCGUAUUAGUUAGUUGGUAAGGUAACGGCUUACCAAGACAAUGAUACGUAGCCGACCUGAGAGGGUAAUCGGCCACAUUGGGACUGAGACACGGCCCAAACUCCUACGGGAGGCAGCAGUAGGGAAUCUUCCACAAUGGACGAAAGUCUGAUGGAGCAACGCCGCGUGAGUGAAGAAGGUUUUAGGAUCGUAAAACUCUGUUGUUGGAGAAGAACAGGGACUAGAGUAACUGUUAGUCCUUUGACGGUAUCCAACCAGAAAGCCACGGCUAACUACGUGCCAGAC
Molecule: ribosomal RNA, 529 nt
Filed under: Loigolactobacillus coryniformis
Lineage: Bacteria; Bacillati; Bacillota; Bacilli; Lactobacillales; Lactobacillaceae
Description: bacterial SSU rRNA
Rfam family: Bacterial small subunit ribosomal RNA
Source: RNAcentral